This 240-nucleotide non-coding RNA is filed under the name Serratia symbiotica SCt-VLC. The record is from RNAcentral. Lineage: Bacteria; Pseudomonadati; Pseudomonadota; Gammaproteobacteria; Enterobacterales; Yersiniaceae.
AAAGUCCCAUCGUAGAAGGUUAGCCAGACCACUACGUAGCGAGUCUUGCGUCUCCGGCGGUAACAAUGGAAACGAAGCGUAGACAGCGAAACAUUCGAGCCGAAACUAAAUGGUGAACGUGAUAGCUCCGAAAUUCCUCUCGUAGGGUGUGCCGAUGGCUUCGCACAGUCAGCAGGCAACAGCGACUGAAUGGUCAUACUGGCAAGCCCAUUCAGAAGCACACUCCGGAGCUGCAGGCGU